UUUUUCCUCAAAAACCUAGCAAAAUAAUCAUCAAAUUAAAUGGGUUUAAGGCUGAAUUUGCAAUGCAUGAGCAAGGAACUUUGAUCUCCUAAGUAUUCUUGACAUCAAGGUCGAAGAAAGGAGGGGAAUCAAACCAAGCAAAGGCAAUAGGAGCGCACGACUCCGGUAAGUUCAUAUGAACUUCGCUCAUGUAGAAUGUAGAUUUUGUUAA
This 211-nucleotide long non-coding RNA is filed under the name Helianthus annuus (common sunflower). RNAcentral's name for it is "sRNA HanXRQr2_Chr07g0306611". Lineage: Eukaryota; Viridiplantae; Streptophyta; Magnoliopsida; Asterales; Asteraceae. The record is from RNAcentral.